This 491-nucleotide ribosomal RNA is filed under the name uncultured bacterium. RNAcentral describes it as "bacterial SSU rRNA". It matches the Rfam family "Bacterial small subunit ribosomal RNA", at positions 28 to 507 of the family's 1533-position model. The record is from RNAcentral.
GAUGAACGCUAGCUACAGGCCUAACACAUGCAAGUCGAGGGGCAGCGGGAAGGAAGCUUGCUUUCUUCGCCGGCGACCGGCGCACGGGUGCGUAACGCGUAUCGAACCUACCCUUUACUCGGGGAACAGCCUUGCGAAAGCAAGAUUAAUGCCCGAUGUUCCGCGUUUGCCGCAUGGCAAAUUCGGCAAAGAUUUAUUGGUAAAGGAUGGCGAUGCGUCCCAUUAGUUAGUUGGCGGGGUAACGGCCCACCAAGGCGACGAUGCGUAGGGGUUCUGAGAGGAAGGUCCCCCACACUGGUACUGAGACACGGACCAGACUCCUACGGGAGGCAGCAGUGAGGAAUAUUGGUCAAUGGGCGCAGGCCUGAACCAGCCAAGUCGCGUGAGGGAAGACGGUCCUACGGAUUGUAAACCUCUUUUGUCGGGGAGUAACGUGCGGGACGCGUCCCGUAUUGAGAGUACCCGAAGAAAAAGCAUCGGCUAACUCCGUG